Molecule: ribosomal RNA, 423 nt
Filed under: uncultured prokaryote
Description: bacterial SSU rRNA
Rfam family: Bacterial small subunit ribosomal RNA
Source: RNAcentral
CAACGAAUAUUCCGCAAUGGGCGCAAGCCUGACGGAGCGACGCCGCGUGGGGGAUGAAGUCCUUCGGGAUGUAAACUCUAAUAGUAUGUUAGGAAGCAAGUCGACCUAACACGUCGGCAAGUUGACCGACAUACGAAAGGGGCGGCUAACUCCGUGCCAGCAGCCGCGGUAAGACGGAGGCCCCAAGCGUUGUUCGGAAUCACUGGGCUUAAAGCGCGUGUAGGCGGGACGGUAAGUACCUUGUGAAAGCCCCGGCUUCAACCCGGGAACUGCUCGGUAUACUGCCGUUCUUGAGGCAGGUAGGGGUCACUGGAACCUUAGGUGGAGCGGUGAAAUGCGUAGAUAUCGGGAGGAACGCCAGUGGCGAAGGCGGCUUUCUGGCCCAUCACUGACACUGAGGCGCGAAAGCCGGGGGAGCGAACG